Molecule: ribosomal RNA, 372 nt
Filed under: uncultured organism
Description: bacterial SSU rRNA
Rfam family: Bacterial small subunit ribosomal RNA
Source: RNAcentral
CGUAGGGUGCGAGCGUUAAUCGGAAUUACUGGGCGUAAAGCGUGCGCAGGCGGUUGUGUAAGACAGGCGUGAAAUCCCCGGGCUCAACCUGGGAACUGCGCUUGUGACUGCACGGCUAGAGUACGGCAGAGGGGGGUGGAAUUCCACGUGUAGCAGUGAAAUGCGUAGAGAUGUGGAGGAACACCAAUGGCGAAGGCAGCCCCCUGGGUCGAUACUGACGCUCAUGCACGAAAGCGUGGGUAGCAAACAGGAUUAGAUACCCUGGUAGUCCACGCCCUAAACGAUGUCAACUAGGUGUUGGAUGGGUAAAACCAUUUAGUACCGGAGCUAACGCGUGAAGUUGACCGCCUGGGGAGUACGGCCGCAAGGUUG